AGAAACUUAGGUUAUACUACAAACCAAGAGCCUUCAAAGCCCUAAAUAGAGAACGCCACCCCUCUAGUUUCUG
This is a non-coding RNA of Eublepharis macularius, 73 nucleotides long. The record is from the annotation of a RefSeq genome assembly. Lineage: Eukaryota; Metazoa; Chordata; Lepidosauria; Squamata; Eublepharidae.